This 500-nucleotide ribosomal RNA is filed under the name uncultured bacterium. RNAcentral describes it as "partial 16S ribosomal RNA". It matches the Rfam family "Bacterial small subunit ribosomal RNA", at positions 29 to 523 of the family's 1533-position model. The record is from RNAcentral.
AUUGAACGCUGGCGGCAUGCCUUACACAUGCAAGUCGAACGGCAGCACGGGAGCAAUCCUGGUGGCGAGUGGCGAACGGGUGAGUAAAGUAUCGGAACGUGCCCAGACGUGGGGGAUAACGUAGCGAAAGUUACGCUAAUACCGCAUACGAGCUAUGGAUGAAAGCGGGGGAUCGUGACACCUCGCGCGAUUGGAGCGGCCGAUAUCGGAUUAGGUAGUUGGUGGGGUAAAGGCUCACCAAGCCGACGAUCUGUAGCUGGUCUGAGAGGACGACCAGCCACACUGGGACUGAGACACGGCCCAGACUCCUACGGGAGGCAGCAGUGGGGAAUUUUGGACAAUGGGCGAAAGCCUGAUCCAGCCAUGCCGCGUGCAGGAUGAAGGCCUUCGGGUUGUAAACUGCUUUUGUACGGAACGAAAAGGUUUGGCCAAAUAAGCUGAGCUCAUGACGGUACCGUAAGAAUAAGCACCGGCUAACUACGUGCCAGCCGCCGCGGUAA